Non-coding RNA from Gossypium hirsutum (cotton), 142 nucleotides. Lineage: Eukaryota; Viridiplantae; Streptophyta; Magnoliopsida; Malvales; Malvaceae. The record is from Rfam.
ACUUAGAAAUUGUAUUCAUUUGUAUUAUUAAAAAUUGGUGUGGCCGAUGAAAUAACUAGAUAGUGAGACGUGUGUCACGUAUAUCUCAUGUUGACAUACAUGAAUCAAUUUUUAACAAUAGAAAUUAAUAGAAAUUUUAACA